This 420-nucleotide ribosomal RNA is filed under the name Triticum aestivum (bread wheat). RNAcentral describes it as "partial small subunit ribosomal RNA". Lineage: Eukaryota; Viridiplantae; Streptophyta; Magnoliopsida; Poales; Poaceae. The record is from RNAcentral.
GGGAACCGCUGGACAGUUCGUGAGGUCUUGGCCCUCUCAAAAGCCAAUAACCCCAAGCUAGUCUUUAUUUCUGAGACUAGACAAUAUGCAAGGAAAGUUGAAAAACUGAAAUGGAGACUUGGUCUGAAAGGAUUCCAUGGAGUACGUAGUGAUGGUAGAAGUGGUUGCUUGGCUUUGUUCUGGGAUGAGUCUUUAUCUAUUACAGUACUUGAAGCUUGCAAUCGUUUCAUUGAUGUUAGGAUUGUCGAUAUGGGCUCUGCUACGUCUUGGAGAGGUACUUUCGUGUAUGGAGAGCCUAGAGUGGAAAACAGACAUCGCAUGUGGGAUCACUUAUGCCGCCUUCGAGCUGUUUCACAGAACCAUGGUUUGUCUGUGGCGAUUACAAUGAGGCAUUAUGGCAGCAUGAGCACCUUUCAAUGA